Long non-coding RNA from Daktulosphaira vitifoliae (grape phylloxera), 467 nucleotides. RefSeq lists it as uncharacterized. NCBI's taxonomy places the organism in Eukaryota, Metazoa, Arthropoda, Insecta, Hemiptera, Phylloxeridae. The record is from RefSeq and is a predicted model, not a curated record. The transcript is spliced from 2 exons.
UUAAUAAGAUUAACCUAGUUUUUAUAGUACUAAAUUCAAAUAUAAAUAUGUUUAUUGUUAAUUUUAAUUCUUUCUAUAAUUUUUAUUUAAAAUUAAAAUAAAUAAGAUUGUGAUUACAUUUUUUUUCAUCAUAGGAUUUACAAGAUACUGCUUACAGAAAAAAUCAUUUUAUCAUUGAUAGACACUAUAAUGAGAAGGAGAUGGCAAAUGAUGGAACACACGUUGUAGCAUAGCAAUGAAUUGCAUAGUUUAAUAAUUAGAUGAAUUAUAGAAGAGACGAGAAAAAGAGGAAGUCCUAGAACGAAAUACAUUAGCCAAGUAAAACAAAAUGCAGAGGUUCAAGAACAUGUUAAAUGACAUAGAAAAACAGAGAAGGCAUUUAUUAAGAAAAAUUUGUUAAAAACCAAUCUUCGGAUUGAUCAACAAAAAUUUAAAUAAUUCAUUAAUAUAAAUUUGUCAUUACGUAA